Molecule: ribosomal RNA, 239 nt
Filed under: Colletotrichum musae
Lineage: Eukaryota; Fungi; Ascomycota; Sordariomycetes; Glomerellales; Glomerellaceae
Also listed under: 1 other name
Description: partial 28S ribosomal RNA
Source: RNAcentral
AAAAGAGAGUUAAAAAGUACGUGAAAUUGUUGAAAGGGAAGCGUUUAUGACCAGACUUGGGCUUGGUUAAUCAUCUGGGGUUCUCCCCAGUGCACUUUUCCAGUCCAGGCCAGCAUCAGUUUUCGCCGGGGGAUAAAGGCUUCGGGAAUGUGGCUCUCUCCGGGGAGUGUUAUAGCCCGUUGCGUAAUACCCUGGCGGGGACUGAGGUUCGCGCAUCUGCAAGGAUGCUGGCGUAAUGG